RNAcentral lists this long non-coding RNA (766 nucleotides) under Gallus gallus (chicken). Lineage: Eukaryota; Metazoa; Chordata; Aves; Galliformes; Phasianidae. The record is from RNAcentral.
CCCCAGUCAGGACAAAUGAGAAUGUCUCGCUGGCAAACUGAUGGAUGGGGGCCCAGUCCUUCGCAUCAGGAAAGCAAAACUGGGGAAUAGCUUUCAACUGAUCUUCUGCCUCGCGCAUGAAUUUGAACGAGCGCUCAAGCUUCAGUGGAAACUGCUGGGUAACCUCAGGGAUGUAGGCAGCUCCAGCCUGCUUCUUGUGCAGUGACACCACGACGAAGUACUCAAACAGCUGCCUUUCUUGAUAUUCAAUCAAGUCCCGUUCCAAGGUUUGAUACCGUGGCGUUUGCUUCAGGCGAGAUUUCACGUGGACAAGGCGCUGGCUGUGAGCUUUCAGCUUCUCUUCUGUAUCACUGUCUGAUUCACUAUUUUCAUCUGUAACUUUUCCUGAAUUGCUCUCUGUAGACUGCGAUAGCCUCUUGACACGUUUCUUUCCCCUCCGUGCCUCAUAAAUGGCAUUGAUUUUCAACACAAGCUUGGGAAUCUUCCUUCUCCUCUUUCCGUUCUGAGGGUCUCCCAAGGAGAAGAAGGUGUCAUCUGGGCUGCUGGGAGUCGAGGGAGGGCUGAUUUUGGAUGGCGACCCAGUUCCAUCACGGCUCAGUUUCCGUAUGUCUGGCAGUUUGAAACUCCGCCGCUCUGAGUUUUGUCGAAAAAAAGUGGGCUUGGAAAGCAACUGAAAAUGGAAGAGAAGGAAUGAAUGAACACAGCACUUCGUGUACCUUUGCUUCAUCGCUAACACUGUCACAGUAGUACAUCCAGUGGGGAGUCC